This 497-nucleotide ribosomal RNA is filed under the name uncultured bacterium. RNAcentral describes it as "partial 16S ribosomal RNA". It matches the Rfam family "Bacterial small subunit ribosomal RNA", at positions 28 to 507 of the family's 1533-position model. The record is from RNAcentral.
GAUGAACGCUGGCGGCGUGCCUAAUACAUGCAAGUCGAGCGAACAGAUAAGGAGCUUGCUCCUUUGACGUUAGCGGCGGACGGGUGAGUAACACGUGGGUAACCUACCUAUAAGACUGGCAUAACUCCGGGAAACCGGGGCUAAUGCCGGAUAACAUUUAGAACCGCAUGGUUCUAAAGUGAAAGAGGGUUUUGCUAUCACUUAUAGAUGGACCCGCGCCGUAUUAGCUAUCUGGUAAGGUAACGGCUUACCAAGGCAACGAUACGUAGCCGACCUGAGAGGGUGAUCGGCCACACUGGAACUGAGACACGGUCCAGACUCCUACGGGAGGCAGCAGUGGGGAAUCUUCCGCAAUGGGCGAAAGCCUGACGGAGCAACGCCGCGUGAGUGAUGAAGGUCUUCGGAUCGUAAAACUCUGUUAUUAGGGAAGAACAAAUGUGUAAGUAACUGUGCACGUCUUGACGGUACCUAAUCAGAAAGCCACGGCUAACUACGUG